Molecule: long non-coding RNA, 902 nt
Organism: Armigeres subalbatus
Lineage: Eukaryota; Metazoa; Arthropoda; Insecta; Diptera; Culicidae
Exons: 4
Source: RefSeq, a predicted model, not a curated record
GAGGAAAUGAGUCUUCACUUUUUUCGGUACCUCCGUGCGAGAAGAUCGUCGCCGCCACAACAAGGCGAAAAGUUGUAAAAUCCCUUCGCGGGAAUCACAGUGCGCGGUUUGUGAGUGAUUUUCACCGGUGGUUUAAUUCGGGAACCGAAAUUCACCCGAAAUCGUUCACCGUGAGGUAAAUCCGGUUUCGAGACGCCGGCAACAAACGCACCAAAGGUCAGGAAAAAGUUCCAGAAUCACGCAGGAAGGUAGACGGUCCAAGGAAGCACGGCACCGAACACAAGUUGACUUCAGUCAACGGGCCGCCAAUCGAAGGGUAAAAGAUCACCCGAAGGUCAGAACAAAACCACGGGGAAGUGAACCAAACACACAUCCGUCGGAGAUCGGUUACAAUUCCGUCAGAGCCAAAACACCCCAUUCGCUGGGGUGUUUCUAUGGGAGCUGAGCUGCGCAUGCUGAAGGACGAUUUGUGCUUGUGUUGAUCCGGUGACUGUCGCGUGGAAUUGGUGAAAGGCGUGCGGCCUCGUCAGCAUCUACUGCCUCGGAGGGAUCCCAUCCAGUAUACGGUCGACUGGACGGCCAGAGGGAUCUCCAGCAGAGGAGUCGCGCAGAGAAGGAAGUUUGCCAGCACGAAGAGGUCGGAGGCGCAGUUGUCCCAGUGAUCCCGUCGUCGCCAUCAAGGAGGGAAUUGGCCGGUAUUUCCACUGCUAUUGCCGCCAGGAAAACCGUCCGUCUUAACCGCAAACGGAGGUCUGGAGACGAGACAUCAAGCAGGAGCGAUUGAUGGCGAAUCGUCGCAGAUUAUGGAGUUGUGCGAGGAGAUGGGUGAGGCGAGACUAGCGUGUAAGAAGAUGUGAAUAGAGAAAGAGUAGAGGAGUUAGGCCCAGAAGUAGGAGGCUAGG